AUACGUAGGGGGCUAGCGUUAUCCGGAAUUACUGGGCGUAAAGGGUGCGUAGGUGGUUUCUUAAGUCAGAAGUGAAAGGCUACGGCUCAACCGUAGUAAGCUUUUGAAACUAAGAGACUUGAGUGCAGGAGAGGAGAGUAGAAUUCCUAGUGUAGCGGUGAAAUGCGUAGAUAUUAGGAGGAAUACCAGUUGCGAAGGCGGCCCUCUGGACUGUAACUGACACUGAGGCACGAAAGCGUGGGGAGCAAACAGGAUUAGAUACCCUGGUAGUCCACGCCGUAAACGAUGAGUACUAGCUGUCGGGGGUUACCCCCCUCGGUGGCGCAGCUAACGCAUUAAGUACUCCGCCUGGGAAGUACGCUCGCAAGAGUGAAACUCAAAUGAAUUGACGGGG
This 394-nucleotide ribosomal RNA is filed under the name uncultured bacterium. RNAcentral's name for it is "partial 16S ribosomal RNA". It matches the Rfam family "Bacterial small subunit ribosomal RNA", at positions 523 to 918 of the family's 1533-position model. The record is from RNAcentral.